RNAcentral lists this ribosomal RNA (695 nucleotides) under uncultured bacterium. RNAcentral's name for it is "bacterial SSU rRNA". It matches the Rfam family "Bacterial small subunit ribosomal RNA", at positions 55 to 775 of the family's 1533-position model. The record is from RNAcentral.
AUGCAGUCGAGCGACGCGCCUUCGGGUGACGGAGCGGCGAACGGGUGAGUAACACGUGGGCAACCUGCCCUCAGCUCUGGGAUAACUCCGGGAAACCGGGGCUAAUACCGGAUACGACAUGCCGUGGCAUCGUGGUGUGUGGAAAGUUUUUCGGCUGAGGAUGGGCCCGCGGCCUAUCAGCUUGUUGGUGGGGUGAAGGCCUACCAAGGCGACGACGGGUAGCCGGCCUGAGAGGGCGACCGGCCACACUGGGACUGAGACACGGCCCAGACUCCUACGGGAGGCAGCAGUGGGGAAUAUUGCGCAAUGGGCGAAAGCCUGACGCAGCGACGCCGCGUGGGGGAUGAAGGCCUUCGGGUUGUAAACCUCUUUCAGCAGGGACGAAUUCAGACGGUACCUGCAGAAGAAGCACCGGCCAACUACGUGCCAGCAGCCGCGGUAAUACGUAGGGUGCAAGCGUUGUCCGGAAUUAUUGGGCGUAAAGAGCUCGUAGGCGGUUUGUCGCGUCGGCUGUGAAAACUUGGGGCUCAACCCCAAGCCUGCAGUCGAUACGGGCAGACUAGAGUGCGGUAGGGGAGACUGGAAUUCCUGGUGUAGCGGUGAAAUGCGCAGAUAUCAGGAGGAACANCNGGUGGCGAAGGCGGGUCUCUGGGCCGUAACUGACGCUGAGGAGCGAAAGCGUGGGGAGCGAACAG